AUUGAACGCUGGCGGCAUGCUUUACACAUGCAAGUCGAACGGCAGCGCGGGCUUCGGCCUGGCGGCGAGUGGCGAACGGGUGAGUAAUACAUCGGAACGUGCCCAGUAGUGGGGGAUAGCUCGGCGAAAGCCGGAUUAAUACCGCAUACGACCUGAGGGUGAAAGCGGGGGAUCUUCGGACCUCGCGCUAUUGGAGCGGCCGAUGGCAGAUUAGCCAGUUGGUGGGGUAAAGGCCUACCAAGGCGACGAUCUGUAGCUGGUCUGAGAGGCCGACCAGCCACACUGGGACUGAGACACGGCCCAGACUCCUACGGGAGGCAGCAGUGGGGAAUUUUGGACAAUGGGCGAAAGCCUGAUCCAGCAAUGCCGCGUGUGUGAUGAAGGCCUUCGGGUUGUAAAGCACUUUUGGCGGGAACGAAAAGGACUGUGCCAAUACCACGGUUCGAUGACGGUACCCGCAGAAUAAGCACCGGCUAACUACGUG
This 484-nucleotide ribosomal RNA is filed under the name uncultured bacterium. RNAcentral describes it as "partial 16S ribosomal RNA". It matches the Rfam family "Bacterial small subunit ribosomal RNA", at positions 29 to 507 of the family's 1533-position model. The record is from RNAcentral.